RNAcentral lists this non-coding RNA (40 nucleotides) under Mastigocoleus testarum BC008. The record is from RNAcentral. Lineage: Bacteria; Bacillati; Cyanobacteriota; Cyanophyceae; Nostocales; Hapalosiphonaceae.
GUUAAAACUUACCAAAAUCCCUAUCAGGGAUUGAUGAAAC